Long non-coding RNA from Melitaea cinxia (Glanville fritillary), 456 nucleotides. RefSeq lists it as uncharacterized. The record is from RefSeq and is a predicted model, not a curated record. Lineage: Eukaryota; Metazoa; Arthropoda; Insecta; Lepidoptera; Nymphalidae. The transcript has 2 exons.
CAUUUGUGUUCUGGGUACACGAGUAAAUGUUACGUGAUUAAGGUGACCAGAGCUCCUGGAAUGGGCCGACAACGCGCUGCAAUGCUUCUGACGUUGCAGGCGUCUAAACGAUAUGCAUAACCGCUGACCGUCAGGUGAGCUGCACGCUUGUUUACUGACUAGUCGUAUAAAAUAUAACAAAUAGUGCUAGUUACCUAAAUUUCGAACAGCAUGGUAGAUUGAGCUCUAGUGUUUCUUAUUAAUAGUGGUUUAAUUAUGGAAUACUUUACUACUUUUAUACUUACAGUUGUUAAAUCCCAUUAAAUAUUCUUAGUAUUAUGUUCCAAAACUGCUUAAAGAAAGAAAAAGUAACGACAUUUAAAAAAAUAAUUUUCACUUUUCAAUUUUGAGCUAUCUUGCAAACCCGUAUUCCUGGAACAACUUUUAAAAACAAUUGUUAUUAAAAACUUUCAGAAA